GCCGGGGACCUUGUGAAAUGGCAGGAGUUCGAACCAGGUCAGGAUCGGAAGAUAGCAGCCUUAAGGAUUACGCUGUCAUGUCAUGAGUCUUCUCCGGCCUU
RNAcentral lists this signal recognition particle RNA (101 nucleotides) under Verrucomicrobiota bacterium. RNAcentral's name for it is "Verrucomicrobia bacterium (activated sludge metagenome) signal recognition particle sRNA small type". It matches the Rfam family "Bacterial small signal recognition particle RNA". Rfam says of the family: The signal recognition particle (SRP) is a universally conserved ribonucleoprotein involved in the co-translational targeting of proteins to membranes. Archaeal SRP consists of a 7S RNA and homologues of the eukaryotic SRP19 and SRP54 proteins. The record is from RNAcentral. Lineage: Bacteria; Pseudomonadati; Verrucomicrobiota.